UCAUCUUGGAGCUACGUAAGCAUAUUAUGUCAUUUAGGAGAGAACUUCGCUAAGUAUAGUUCAUUUUUUAUUAAGUAGGCUAUUUUGGAGCUAACUAAGCUAAUUGUGUCAUUUAGGUGGAAGCCAAGCUAACUAUAGGUCAUUCUAGAGCUAACUUGGGUUAAAUAUGUCAUUUUGGAGCUUACUAUGCUUAUUAAGCCAUUUUGGGGUUGGCUAAGCUAAUUAUAGGGCAUUUAAUAGCUAAGUUAGGGGCAAUAGAUCAUCUUGGAGCUAUGUAAGCCUUAUUUUAUCAUUUUGGAGAGAACUUAGCUAAGUAUAAGUCAUUUUUUUAUUAAAUAGGCAAUUUUGAAGCUAGCUAAACUAAUUAUGUCAUUUAGUUGGAAGGCUAACUAACUAUAGGUCAUUCUUGAGCCAACUUGGGUAAAAUAGGUCAUUUUGGAGCUAACUAUGCUUAUUAAGCCAUUUUGGAGCUAGCUAAGCUAAUUAUAGGCCAUUUAAUAGCUAACUUAAGGGGAAUAGGUCAUCUUGAAGCUACGUAAGCCUUAUUAUGUCAUUUCGGAAAGCACUUAGCUAAGUAUAAGUCAUUUUUUAUUAACUAGGCCAUUUUGGAGAUAACUAAGCAGAUUAUGUCAUUUAGGACGAAACGAAGCUAAGUAUAUGUCAUUUUGGCGCUACUUAGGUAAAAAUAGGUAAUUUUUAUCUAAAUAUGAUUAUUAAGCCAUUUUGGAGCUAUCUAAGCUAAUUAUAGGCCAUUUAUUAGCUAAGUUAGGGGGAAUAUGUCAUCUUGGAGCUACGUAAGCAUAUUAUGUCAUUUAGAAGAGAACUUAGCUAAAUAUAGGUCAUUUUGUUUAUUAAAUAGGCCAUUUUGGAGCUAACUAAGCUAAUUAUGUCAUUUACGUGGAAGCUAAGCUAACUAUAGGUCAUUCUAGAGCUAACUUGGGUUAAAUAUGUCAUUUUGGACAUAAUUAUGCUUAUUAAGCCAUUUUGGAUCUAGCUAAGCUAAUUAUAGGCCAUUUAAUAGCUAAGUUAGGGGGAAUAGGCCAUAUUGGAGCUACGUAAGCAUAUUAUGUCAUUUAGGAGAGAACGUAGCUAAGUAUAGGUCAUUUUUUUAUUAAAUAGGCCAUUUUGAAGAUAACUAAGCUAAUUAUACCAUUUAGAUGGAAGCCAAGCUGACUAUAGGUCAUUCUAGAGCUAACUUGGGUUAAAUAUGUCAUUUUGGAGCCAACUAUGCUUAUUAAGCCAUUUUGGCCAUUUAAUAGCUAAGUUAGGGGGGAUAGGUUAUCUUGGAGCUACGNNNNNNNNNNCAGCCUAAUUAUGUCAUUUAGGAGAGAACUUAUCUAAGUAUAGAUCAUUUUUAUUAAAUAUGCAAUUUUGGAGCUAACUAAGCUAAUUAUGUUAUUUAGGUGGAAGCCUAGCUAACUAUAGGUCAUUUCGGUUCUAACUUUGGUAAAAUAGGUCAUUUUUGAGCUAACUAUGCUUAUUAAGACAUUUUGGAGCUAGUUAAGCUAAUUCUAUGCCAUUUAAUAGCUAAGUUAGGGGAGUAUGUCAUCUUGGAGAUACCUAAGCAUAUUAUGUCAUAUAGGAGAGAACUUAGCUAAGUAUAGGUCAUUUUUAUUAAAUAUGCCAUUUUGGAGCUAACUAAGGUAAUUAUGUCAUUUAGGUGGAAGCCAAGCUAACUAUAGGUCUUUCUCGAGCUAACUUGGGUUAAAUAUGUCAUUUUGGAGCUAACUAUGCUUAUUAAGCCAUUUUGGAGCUAGCUAAGCUAAUUAUAGGCCAUUUUAUAGCUAAGUUAGGGGGAAUAGGUCAUCUUGGAGCUACGUAAGCAUAUUAUUUCAUUUAGGAGAGAACUUGCCUAAGUAUAGGUCUUUUUUUAUUAAAUAGGACAUUUUGGAGCUAACUAAGCUAAUUAUGUCAUUUGGGACGAAACGAAGCUAAGUAUAUGUCAUUUUGGAGCUACUUAGGUACAAAUGGGUCAUUUUUGAGCUAACUAUGCUUAUUAAGACAUUUAGGAGCUAGUUAAGCUAAUUAUAGGCCAUUUAAUAGCUAAGUUAGGGGGAGUAUGUUAUCAUGGAGCUAUGUAAGCCUUAUUUUGUCACUUAGAGAGAACUUAGCUAAGUAUAUAUCAUUUUUUAUUAAAUAGGCAUUUUGGAGCUAACUAAGCUAAUUAUGUCAUUUAGGACGAAAGGAAGCUAAGUAUAUGUCAUUUUGUAGCUACUUAGGUAAAAAUGGGUCAUUUUUUAGCUAACUAUGCUUAUUAAGACAUUUUGGAGCUAGUUAAGCUAAUUAUAGGCCAUUUAAUAGCUAAGUUAGGGGAGUAUGUCAUCCUCGAGCUACGUAAGCAUAUUAUGUCAUUUAGGAGAGAACUUAGCUAAGUAUAGGUUAUUUUUUAUUAAAUAUGCCAUUUUGGAGCUAACUUAGCUAAUUAUGUCAUUUAGGUGGAAGCCAAGCUAAUUAUAGGUCAUUCUAUAGCUAACUUGGAUUAAAUAUGUCAUUUUGGAGCUAACUAUGCUUAUUAACCCAUUUUGGAGUUAGCUAAGCUAAUUAUAGGCCAUUUAAUAGCUAAGUUAGGAGAAUGGGUCAUCUUCGAGCUAUGUAAGCCAUAUUAUGUCAUUUAGGAGAGAACUUAGCUAAGUAUAGGUGAUUUUUAUUAAAUAGGCAAUUUUGGAGCUAACUAAGCUAAUUAUUUCAUUUAUGUGGAAGCCUUGCUAACUAUAGGUCAUUUCGCACAUAACUUGGGUAAAAUAGGUCAUUUUGGAGCUAACUCUGCUUAUUAAGCCAUUUUGGAGCUAGCUAAGCUAAUUAUAGGCCAUUUAAUAGCUAAGUUAGGGGGAAUAGGUCCUCUCGGAGCUACGUAAGCAUAUUAUGUCAUUUAGGUGGGAGUCAAGCUAACCAUAGGUCAUUCUAGAGAUAACUUGGGUUAAAUAUGUCAUUUCGGAGAUAACUAUGCUUACUAAUCCAUUUUGGAUCUAGCUAAGCUAAUUAUAGGGCAUUUAAUAGCUAAAUUAGGAGGAAUAGGUCAUCUUGGAGCUACGUAAACAUAUUAUGUCAUUN
Molecule: long non-coding RNA, 3051 nt
Filed under: Hordeum vulgare
Lineage: Eukaryota; Viridiplantae; Streptophyta; Magnoliopsida; Poales; Poaceae
Description: long non-coding RNA (HVUL_LNC009987)
Source: RNAcentral